UACAGUAAAAUGAUAUUUAUUAAAAAAAAAAAAUGUUUGAUACGUUGCAAAUAUUAUGGAAAUAAAAUAAUAUGGAGAAUGCAGGAUAGAAGGUAUGUUGAGUACUGGCUUUCAAUGGUUUUCAAUGAAUCACAAGUAUUCGUGUGGAGAAACUUAACCAUCUGUGAUAUUGUCUACCAACAAUGACACUGCAUGACUUCUUCUAUUAGCCUUCUACGUUACACAAGUGGCACUUAAAACAUGCAGUCUGUUUUCCAGUUACUCUCGUGUUCAAGUUUUGUCUUUUGUCGAAAUACGCGACAUGAACAAAUAUACCAAUAGAUUACUGAAAUGGGCCACUUCAUGCGCAACAACCAAAUAAUAUCAUUUACCCAAUUAUCCAGCUAAUAAUCAGAAUAAACACCUUUCAAAGACCUUUCUCUGCAAAUCUCGAUGGCAUUGUCGGCCAAGGUUAAAAGAAGAGGGUUAAAAGAAGAUGAUAUAAGAUAGUGGUUACGGGCACGAUUACUUGGAAGAUGAUAGGAUAGAAAGAUGCACCAGUGUUUAUACUAUUGAUUGUAAUUAUUAAAAGGAAAGUACAAAGAUUAAGAUGCAUUAUAAAAGAGAGAAAAAAUUUUCUUUUUAAUAAAUUAUGGUUGUAAUACGCUUUAUAUAUCAAAUUUUCAUUUUAUAAUUUUAAAUGACUUAAAUGAAGUUAAUAAUAUGAAUAUAUGUAAUGUACUUACAUAAUAAUAUCUAUGUUGUUCUUUCCAGAUAGAGCAGUGUUUAAAAAUCGUAAUUAUUAAAAGGAAAGUACAGGGGUUAAGAUGCAUGGAAGAGAGAAAAAAGUUUCUUUUUAACAAAUUAUGAUGCAGCAGUGCUUACAUACGCCAUUGAUUGUAAAAAUCAUAAUUAUUAAAAGAAAAGGGAUUAAGAUGUAUUAUGGAAGAGAGGAAAAAUGUUCAUUUUAUCAAAUUAUCAUUAUGCAGCAGUGCUUACAUAUGCCAUUGAUUAUAAAAAUCAUAAUUAUUAAAAGAAAAGAUAUAUUAUAGAAGAGAGGAAAAAUUUUUAUUUUAACAAAUUAUCAUUAUGCAAAAGUGUUUAUAUAUGUCAUUGAUAAUCAAUUAAAUUAUUAAAAGGAAAGUACAGGGGUUAAGAUGCAUUAUGGAAGAGAGGAAAAAUUUUCAUUUUAACAAAUUAUCAUUGUAAUACAAUUUAUAAUAAAUUUCCAUUUCAUAAUUUUAAGUGACUUAAAUGAAGUUAAUGAAAUAGAUAUAUGUAAUGUACUUACAUAGUAAUAUCUAUGUUGAUGUAUAUAGAAAAUCCUUUCUUUUAUUAUGUUUGAUAUUUUCGUCGAGUUCAUUUCCAGGUUGCUCAAGAGGAACAAAAGGGAAAAUGAUAUCAAAGUGACACUAGGGAGCAGUAAGGGUGUGUCUUUAUCUUCGUUAUUACCAGUAGUAGUGGGUCCUUACCGAUUAUCCUGAAUUAAAGUGACUUCAUUAAGGAAGAUACAGAUACCACUUGUAACAACAUUAGAAAACUCGAAGGAGAUUUAUUUUUAUUUGAAAAGAAGGAAAACAAAAACACUUAAUUCUUUAACGUAUUUUUAAUUUUUUUUUUUCGUACUAAUUGCUUUUCAGGUGCAUCUCGUUGAAACGCCAAUUACCACCUAUAAAGGGCCGUGUAUCGAGACAAUGAAUUUGAAUAAUCGAUCCACCUCGAGCAAGGCGAUUAACUAUCGACAGAGAUCGUCACACUCGGCAUCCUUUUCUUCUCCAGAAACCUCCUUCCUCCAGAAGAUUCUCUCAAGGAGGAUACGUUCCGAUCCGACGUUUCAUUAGUUCCUUAAUGCAUCCUGCGGGUCGUUGCUGCUCUCAAGGAAAGGAUCAACACUUUUUUGCUUCGGAACGAUGCGUCAGGGAUGCACGGCUCUUAUGUGCCAGAGUGACUGAUGAACCAUCGACUAAUUACCUCCUCUAUGUGCCCUGUAAUACGAACGUAUUAAUAACCUGCAUUUAUAUAUAUCCGUGAAAAAUGACCGCUUAUCUCGCUUCACGGGCACAAAAGGAUCGUUGGUCCGUUGUGUUUAGAAAACGAGUUGAGGAGAAUGCGAUAGGAGAGGAGGAAUUAUAUCUAUAUACCGAGUUUCGUUCGUUGGAACGAAAUUUUUGUCAAUGCCCCGAUUCAUCCGUUAUCUCCUACACUGAUAUUCAAAUUUUAUUUUUGUUCCAUCAAGUUGCGUCAUUGUUGAGUUUAUAACGGCGAUUUAAUUAUAUAUCUUGUUGUUCACAAACAAUUUGGAAAUUUUCGUCCGUUGUCCGAUUGAUUAAUUUAUUGCUAUGAUACAUCAAAUUUUAUUUUUGUGUUUUAUCGGGUUACGCGUGUAUUUAUAUCUCGGUUGUCAGUGGAAUUUCUUACCGAUACGAAUUUUAGAAGUAAGAAAAUUUUAUUUGGAAAUACUUUACUCGAGAUUAAUUACAGAUAGAAUUAUGUGGAGGGAAAAUGUUUGUACGAAUAAUUGUACGAUCAAGUGAAUUUUUAUUACUUGUGUUGGAGAAGGAUAAUGAUGGAAAGAUAGGAAAUCGAACUUUUUAUAUCUUUUCCUAUAUAUAUAUAUAUAUAUAUUUGUUUAUUCGAUCUAGAAAAAGUAGUUGGUAGAUUCGAAAAAAGACGUUUCGAAAAGAUCAAAGCUUGAGCGGUACUCGAGCGCGUUCUACUUCGGCUUUGACUAAAUAAAAAGCGAGCUUUGCAUUUUUUACAGGCGACUGCGCUUAGAAAGCGACGAGAGACGGAAAGUUGAACGACCACCACCUUGGUCUUAACCGUAAUCCCGAAGAGUGACGAGCGUCAAAGCAACGCGGGGAUUCUUCAACUAUAUUACUAUCCUCUCUGUGUCGCCUUCGUUCCUUCGUUUAUCAACUUUCUCUCUCCAUCAUUCCUCCAUGUAAGAAACGAAAAAUGAAAGAAACGUGUCGAACUUACGACUAAUUUAAUCUUGAAAGACGAAUACGAAUUUCGAGUUGAGGAAAAUCGAGGAAGGAAAGAUCGAGGGAGGGAGAGA
This 3040-nucleotide long non-coding RNA is filed under the name Apis mellifera (honey bee). RNAcentral's name for it is "uncharacterized LOC107964659, transcript variant X1". Lineage: Eukaryota; Metazoa; Arthropoda; Insecta; Hymenoptera; Apidae. The record is from RNAcentral.